GACGACGCUGAUGAUAAAUCAGGUUAGAUCUGGUUAGAAUCGGCUCCCGCCGCUUCAAUUCUGUUGGCGACGUGGUUUCACAGCGGUGAUGAAGAAAAGCAGAGAGUGAGAGAGAGAUGUAGCGGAAGAGAGAGAGAGAGCGGCGCCGCCGCUCACGGCGGCGGCUGUCGAGGCUCACGGCGGCGGUCUGUAAUCGACAAGGAUUCUGCUCCAGACGGGUUCAACAUCAGGUUCGAGUUGGUUUUGGUUUGGGUUUUCAAGGAGUUCGGGUUUUAGAUUCAGCCGGUUCGGGUUCGAGUAAAGAUGUUGCAGAUUCGGAUUAUGUUUGGUUAAGAUCUAGCUGGGUUUUGGUUUAAUUCGGGUCUUUCGUUUAGUCUCAGGUCAGAAGCGGGAUUCGGUUCAGUUUUGGUUUUCGGUCAAACGCGAUCAACAACGAGUCAACUCAGUUCGGUGCGGGUCAACCGAGUCAACUCGGUCAAACCCGGUCAACUCAGUUGACUCGGUCAGCACAGUCAAGACAGUCAAUGAAGACCUGGGAUGCUAUAGUUGUACGCUAGCUAGCUCACAUUCUUGGAAUGACACUACGGAAUCACACUAAGCUAGCUUUGCAC
RNAcentral lists this long non-coding RNA (611 nucleotides) under Helianthus annuus (common sunflower). RNAcentral describes it as "hypothetical non coding rna". Lineage: Eukaryota; Viridiplantae; Streptophyta; Magnoliopsida; Asterales; Asteraceae. The record is from RNAcentral.